GAAAUGCGAUACGCAAUGCGAAUUGCAGAAUCCGCGAGUCAUCAGAUCUUUGAACGCAAGUGGUGGAGGUGUAAAAACCUUCAUGUUCGUUUCAGUGUGGAAAGGAAUCACGCAUCUUAAUGCGAUCGAAGCGACGGCUUGUCCGAUGCUUCCCUCGUUAAACGUGAUGGGUGGUCGAGCAAUCGCCGCCAGAACGAAGUAGUCACAUUCGUGUAAUGUGAACAUUCGUUCGGGCAAUACGGCUGAAUGCUCACUUAUGCCAUUCCAUAGAAAAUCAAACUUUUCUCACUACACCUGAAAUGAGCAAGAUUACCCGCUGAACUUAA
This 326-nucleotide unclassified non-coding RNA is filed under the name uncultured fungus. RNAcentral's name for it is "sequence contains ITS1". The stretch from base 1 to 100 matches the Rfam family "5.8S ribosomal RNA", at positions 50 to 154 of the family's 154-position model. The record is from RNAcentral. Lineage: Eukaryota; Fungi.